This 1943-nucleotide long non-coding RNA is filed under the name Homo sapiens (human). Its description in RNAcentral is "HSALNT0303875". The record is from RNAcentral. Lineage: Eukaryota; Metazoa; Chordata; Mammalia; Primates; Hominidae.
CACCAGGAGACGAUGGAAGGUCUAUAGUGUUACAGCUCUGACCCAGGAAGUCCCAGGGUCUUGCCUUCCAGAAGGGUCGCGGCUCUUCCCUCCCUCAGUCCAACGAACAGGAGCACGUCACCUCCCGCAGCUCGGGGAGCUGGCCAGGAACGUGUUACAGCCCGUUUCGCUCCUGUCCGCAGCUGGGUGAGGCAGCCAGGAAAAUAUUACAGCUCUUCUCACGCCCGCCAUUCAGCAGGUCCUGACUUCUUGUGUGACAUCCAGAAGAAAGGGGUUACACAGACAGCUGGAGGGUGAGCAAAGUGGAGAAGUUCUCAGCAGAGAGGAGACUGGAGUGAGUUGCCCCUACCCGCAGGUGCCAACUGUAAUACAUCAGUAGCUGAACAGCUCAUUGCCCUCAAGUGUUCUUGCUCAUGCCUGGCUGAGUUAUUGAAGAAAUUGCUCAGAUCUCAAGCCCUUGUAGAUCACUGGUCCUGGCAGAUGUUAUACGUGAACAGAAAAGCCUGAACUAGGGAACUGACCAUGAAACUAAAAAGGAGAAAGCAUAUGCAAGUGGACACAAUAUUAUACACCCGUGAUAUUGAUGGCAGUGGCUGCUGCUGUCGUGGCUGCUGCUAUCACGCCUGCUGCAACACAGAGGUGCGACUGGGGCUGCACAUUUCACGGAGGUGUUGGGAGUUCCGCCCCUUCUGAUGUGGGGAAAGAGAUCCCCAGGUGCCCCUGCAUCUGCCCAAACUGUGGCUGUGGAUCGGAGGCUCCAGGUUGGCAGGUUGGGAGCUUCCGGGUGCAGCUGCGACCGCCCUCCCAGGUGCAGGACCCUGGUGUUUCUGCAGCCUGCACCCUUGGGGGCCCCAGGAAAGACCCAUAUCCUUGCAGGCUUGGAGGUGUUUGCUUCUUCUGCCUGGCCUCUCUCGGCUCCCGGUGCAUGCUCUCAUAUCUGAGUGGGGGUUGGUGCUGAGCCCCGGGGCCGUGAAUUGCAGCAGGAGGCAGAUUUAUUCCUGGGCAGAAGGUGGCAGAUCCCAAGUAAGGGGACCUUCAAGCCAGGGAGGGCCUGAAGGCUGGUGGCUGGGCUACCAGUCCCACCGACCAGAGUGGGGAUUCGUGGGCCUCUUCUGGGCCACCCAUAGCCACCCAUGGACCAAUCAGCAAGCACAUCCUCCCCUCUGAGGUCCGUAAAAGCCCUGGGCGCAGCCUGAGCAGGGCAGAGGAAGGCCAGAGGUGAAGGAGUCAGAGAGGCGACAGGAUAGGCAGCUGCCGAGAGAAGUACGCCUCUCUGCUGAGACCUGGAGAUGACGGGAAGGCCAGAUGCAGAGAGGAGCUACCCUCUCUGCUUAGAGCUGCCAGGAGGAGCUACCAACCUUCUCUGCUGAGAGCUGCAGAGAUGACCUGCUGGCAGAGAGGAGCUACCCACUGCGGGUCUCCUCUGAUCUGUUGUAAUGCUGAAUAAAGCUUCUUUUCAUCUUGUUCACCUUCCACUUGUCUGCAUACCUCAUUCUACCCGGACGCAAGCAAGAACUCGAGCAAAGGCACAACCAGCCACAGAGGUUUCUGGCCAGAAAAUCGACACCCCAAAAGUCCUAUAACAAUCUGAUUCUAAAAGCAACAUCAUCUUUUCAAUGUAAUUCUAAAAGAAUUUGGGAUUAUUUUAUUUAAUUUCAGGAUCCCCUCUGAAGAAAAUCAACUUACAAAGGAUGGCAGGUCUUAAGAAAGGUACUUAGCAAGUGCUGGUACAUUCUAAGCAAUCAAUAUUUGUCAAUGUUCAGUAAUUGUACAAUUGUACUAGAGAAAACAAUUCCAGGGGCUUAAAAUUAUCUUAUACAAGGAUCCACUUUAUUAUUAUUUUUUCUGUUUGUUUUGGAUAAAUUACUGACUCCUUAUCUCAGUUAUGUUAUGUGUUAAAUGUUUACAGUGUUAUUUUGUAUCUCUCAAGGGCUUUUGUUAGA